CCUACGGGUUGCAGCAGUGGGGAAUAUUGCACAAUGGGCGCAAGCCUGAUGCAGCCAUGCCGCGUGUAUGAAGAAGGCCCUAGGGUUGUAAAGUACUUUCAGUCGGGAGGAAGGCGUUGAUGCUAAUAUCAUCAACGAUUGACGUUACCGACAGAAGAAGCACCGGCUAACUCCGUGCCAGCAGCCGCGGUAAUACGGAGGGUGCACGCGUUAAUCGGAAUUACUGGGCGUAAAGCGCACGCAGGCGGUUGAUUAAGUUAGAUGUGAAAGCCCCGGGCUUAACCUGGGAAUGGCAUCUAAGACUGGUCAGCUAGAGUCUUGUAGAGGGGGGUGGAAUUCCAUGUGUAGCGGUGAAAUGCGUAGAGGUGUGGAGGAAUACCGGUGGCGAGGGCGGCCCCCUGGACAAAGACUGACGCUCAGGUGCGAAAGCGUGGGGAGCAAACAGGAUUAGAUACCCCAGUAGUC
RNAcentral lists this ribosomal RNA (465 nucleotides) under uncultured bacterium. Its description in RNAcentral is "bacterial SSU rRNA". It matches the Rfam family "Bacterial small subunit ribosomal RNA", at positions 338 to 795 of the family's 1533-position model. The record is from RNAcentral.